This 468-nucleotide ribosomal RNA is filed under the name uncultured bacterium. Its description in RNAcentral is "partial 16S ribosomal RNA". It matches the Rfam family "Bacterial small subunit ribosomal RNA", at positions 28 to 507 of the family's 1533-position model. The record is from RNAcentral.
GACGAACGCUGGCGGCGUGCUUAACACAUGCAAGUCGAACGGAAAGGCCCUGCUUUUGUGGGGUGCUCGAGUGGCGAACGGGUGAGUAACACGUGAGUAACCUGCCCUUGACUUUGGGAUAACUUCAGGAAACUGGGGCUAAUACCGGAUAGAAGCUCCUGCUGCAUGGUGGGGGUUGGAAAGUUUCGGCGGUUGGGGAUGGACUCGCGGCUUAUCAGCUUGUUGGUGGGGUAGUGGCUUACCAAGGCUUUGACGGGUAGCCGGCCUGAGAGGGUGACCGGCCACAUUGGGACUGAGAUACGGCCCAGACUCCUACGGGAGGCAGCAGUGGGGAAUAUUGCACAAUGGGCGGAAGCCUGAUGCAGCAACGCCGCGUGCGGGAUGACGGCCUUCGGGUUGUAAACCGCUUUCGCCUGUGACGAAGCGUGAGUGACGGUAAUGGGCAAAGAAGCACCGGCUAACUACGUG